CUCUUAUCCAGAGAGGCAGAGGGACUGGCCCGAUGAAGCCUCGGCAACCGGAAUAAAAUUCGGUGCCAAUUCCAGCAAAGCGCUUUGCUUUGAAAGAUAAGAG
This 103-nucleotide non-coding RNA is filed under the name Brevibacillus panacihumi. Its description in RNAcentral is "SAM-I sequence". It matches the Rfam family "SAM riboswitch aptamer (S box leader)". From Rfam's summary of the family: The SAM riboswitch is found upstream of a number of genes which code for proteins involved in methionine or cysteine biosynthesis in Gram-positive bacteria. The SAM riboswitch acts at the level of transcription termination control. Lineage: Bacteria; Bacillati; Bacillota; Bacilli; Caryophanales; Paenibacillaceae. The record is from RNAcentral. RNAcentral also lists the same sequence under 1 other name.